UGGUUCAGUGGUAAAAUUCUCAUCUUCCACGUGAGAAACCUGGGUCCGAUUCCCAG
RNAcentral lists this transfer RNA (56 nucleotides) under Loxodonta africana (African savanna elephant). It matches the Rfam family "tRNA", at positions 8 to 63 of the family's 71-position model. From Rfam's summary of the family: Transfer RNA (tRNA) molecules are approximately 80 nucleotides in length. Their secondary structure includes four short double-helical elements and three loops (D, anti-codon, and T loops). The record is from Rfam by way of RNAcentral. Lineage: Eukaryota; Metazoa; Chordata; Mammalia; Proboscidea; Elephantidae.